Molecule: ribosomal RNA, 484 nt
Filed under: uncultured Sphingobacteriales bacterium
Lineage: Bacteria; Pseudomonadati; Bacteroidota; Sphingobacteriia; Sphingobacteriales
Description: bacterial SSU rRNA
Rfam family: Bacterial small subunit ribosomal RNA
Source: RNAcentral
AAACUUAAAUGAAUUGACGGGGGCCCGCACAAGCGGAGGAACAUGUGGUUUAAUUCGAUGAUACGCGAGGAACCUUACCUGGGCUUAAAUGUAGAGUGCAUUGAGAGGAAACUUUCAUUUUCUUCGGAACUCUUUACAAGGUGCUACAUGGUUGUCGUCAGCUCGUGCCGUGAGGUGUCGGGUUAAGUCCCAUAACGAGCGCAACCCUUAUCGUUAGUUGCCAGCGGGUAAUGCCGGGGACUCUAGCGAAACUGCCGGUGUAAACCGAGAGGAAGGUGGGAUGACGUCAAAUCAGCACGGCCCUUAUGUCCAGGGCUACACACGUGUUACAAUGGCCGGUACAGAGGGCAGCUACCUGGAGACAGGAUGCGAAUCUCGAAAGCCGGUCUCAGUUCGGAUCGGAGUCUGCAACUCGACUCCGUGAAGCUGGAUUCGCUAGUAAUCGCGCAUCAGCCAUGGCGCGGUGAAUACGUUCCCGGGCCUU